CGUUUAAUUGCAAUAGUCUUUCUUUCUUUCGUUCUUUUUUGUACUUUUUAUUACCUGUGCGUGGUAAUGAUUAUUGUGUCCAUAUUUUUUCCGGUAAUUUCUCCUUCCACUUUGAAGUACAAAGGCUCAGUCUGAUAUACUGAAACUCCAAUUUUCUUGGUUGUGUUAAAUUAAUUUCUUGUUAUUGAAGAAUCUACAGAUAUCUUAAUAUCAGCCAGGUAAUUGCUUUAGGAAAUCCCAUAAUACUCUUACCUUUACUUGUAUAUUACUAUAUCAUAUGUUACUUAAUCAUGGGAUAUAUAAAUCUGGAUUGCUAAGAAUUCAUUGUACCAGCAACAUAUGAACUUCUAAGGUUGAGAUUGCUAUAUGUUACGUAUCCCUUAUACAACUUAUUCCGUCGUAUUGGUGUGUAUUUUCUCUGGAUCAAACGAUAAGCUGUAUAUUAUCCCCUCGUCUGAAGUAUUCAUUCUCUUGCUGGAUAUUAUAUUCUAUUCCAUUUCCUUGUGGAACGUGAAUGUGUUGUUUAAUCCUAAUUAUUUGCUAUGAUGACCAACUGGCUCAACUCUAUAAUUCAUACUGAAUGUUGAUUGUCACCGAAGUACUUAAGGUUCAUUUUUGGUGGGUUUUGUCACGACUCCCUGCAAUAUUGGAGAGAAAGAUACAUAUAUCCUUGCCCAUUAAAAGCUCCCCAACACAAUUGCAGCUCACAUUCCAUGUUUGGAACGGUCUGCAGACCCGGGUUGGAGGACACUGACACAACUUCAGACGACUGAAGUCUGAAACAACGUCUUGAAGGACCUGCAAGGCAUCAUUAUAUCUUUGCCCGUAGGAUAGGGGCUUGAGAUUUGAAAAGAAGUGCCUCAAUAGUCAAUAUCUGGAAUGUUGAAAUGUAUGUUUCUGGUAUAAAAGUAAUCAUAUUCCUAUGAUAUACAUGUGCGGUUUUGAAUGCCCUUCUUUGAGAGAUUUAAGAUCUUUAAAAUUUGGUAAAAAGGAACUGAGCUACAUGCA
This is a long non-coding RNA of Neltuma alba, 1008 nucleotides long. RefSeq lists it as uncharacterized. The record is from RefSeq and is a predicted model, not a curated record. NCBI's taxonomy places the organism in Eukaryota, Viridiplantae, Streptophyta, Magnoliopsida, Fabales, Fabaceae. The transcript has 2 exons.